This is a long non-coding RNA of Podarcis raffonei (Aeolian wall lizard), 333 nucleotides long. RefSeq lists it as uncharacterized. The record is from RefSeq and is a predicted model, not a curated record. NCBI's taxonomy places the organism in Eukaryota, Metazoa, Chordata, Lepidosauria, Squamata, Lacertidae. The transcript is spliced from 2 exons.
ACAGCACCUUGAAAGUGUACAGCGAUAGUUAUUAUGUUCCGCAAGCAACACAGGAUACCAGCCAUGGACAUUUGGACACAGGACCUUGGAGGCCUGAAGACCUGUUAUAUACCAGAGACAGUUGUUUAUAUUUAGUGUAUUUAUACAUUUGUGUAUAUCAUAGCAGGGAUAUGAUAUAUCUGCUUACCAAAGUAAAACCAGAGCCCUAAUUUGAACUGUGUAUUGAAAUGGACAGUACCACUGUGCAAUGCAUGUAUCUUAGAAUCAAUAAUCAAAGAUAGAAUUGUUCAGGUCACUGUGCCUUUUAAAUAAACAACAAAUGGACAAAACAAA